AUUGAACGCUGGCGGAAUGCUUUACACAUGCAAGUCGAACGGCAGCACGGGGGCAACCCUGGUGGCGAGUGGCGAACGGGUGAGUAAUACAUCGGAACGUGCCCAGUCGUGGGGGAUAACGUAGCGAAAGUUACGCUAAUACCGCAUACGAUCUACGGAUGAAAGCGGGGGACCGUAAGGCCUCGCGCGAUUGGAGCGGCCGAUGUCAGAUUAGGUAGUUGGUGAGGUAAAGGCUCACCAAACCGGCGAUCUGUAGCUGGUCUGAGAGGACGACCAGCCACACUGGGACUGAGACACGGCCCAGACUCCUACGGGAGGCAGCAGUGGGGAAUUUUGGACAAUGGGCGCAAGCCUGAUCCAGCCAUUCCGCGUGCAGGACGAAGGUCUUCGGGUUGUAAACUGCUUUUGUACGGAACGAAAAGGCUCUGGUUAAUACCUGGGGCUCAUGACGGUACCGUAAGAAUAAGCACCGGCUAACUACGUGCCAGCCGCCGCCGUAA
Molecule: ribosomal RNA, 500 nt
Filed under: uncultured bacterium
Lineage: Bacteria
Description: partial 16S ribosomal RNA
Rfam family: Bacterial small subunit ribosomal RNA
Source: RNAcentral